RNAcentral lists this ribosomal RNA (301 nucleotides) under uncultured bacterium. Its description in RNAcentral is "partial 16S ribosomal RNA". It matches the Rfam family "Bacterial small subunit ribosomal RNA", at positions 509 to 807 of the family's 1533-position model. The record is from RNAcentral.
CAGUAGCCGCGGUAAUACGUAGGUGGCAAGCGUUGUCCGGAAUUAUUGGGCGUAAAGGGCUCGCAGGCGGUUUCUUAAGUCUGAUGUGAAAGCCCCCGGCUCAACCGGGGAGGGUCAUUGGAAACUGGGAAACUUGAGUGCAGAAGAGGAGAGUGGAAUUCCACGUGUAGCGGUGAAAUGCGUAGAGAUGUGGAGGAACACCAGUGGCGAAGGCGACUCUCUGGUCUGUAACUGACGCUGAGGAGCGAAAGCGUGGGGAGCGAACAGGAUUAGAGACCCCAGUAGUCCCUGUCUCUUAUAC